CAGCAGAAGCGUCCGCUCCGUUGAGCAGAA
Molecule: small RNA, 30 nt
Filed under: Bombyx mori (domestic silkworm)
Lineage: Eukaryota; Metazoa; Arthropoda; Insecta; Lepidoptera; Bombycidae
Description: ovarian small RNA-13172
Source: RNAcentral